RNAcentral lists this ribosomal RNA (253 nucleotides) under uncultured bacterium. RNAcentral's name for it is "partial 16S ribosomal RNA". It matches the Rfam family "Bacterial small subunit ribosomal RNA", at positions 524 to 776 of the family's 1533-position model. The record is from RNAcentral.
GACAGAGGGUGCGAACGUUGUUCGGAAUUACUGGGCGUAAAGCGUGCGCAGGCGGUUAUGCAAGACAGAUGUGAAAUCCCCGGGCUUAACCUGGGAACUGCAUUUGUGACUGCAUAGCUGGAGUACGGCAGAGGGGGAUGGAAUUCCGCGUGUAGCAGUGAAAUGCGUAGAUAUGGGGAGGAACACCGGUGGCGAAGGCGGCCAUCUGGACGGAUACUGACGCUGAGACGCGAAAGCGUGGGGAGCAAACAGG